GUGCACCAGUCGAGAAACCUCCGCAAUACACGAAAGUGUGACGGGCCAUCCCGAGUGCCGUCCGCUGAGGACGGCUUUCCCCAGUGUACAUAGCUGGGGAAGUAAGGAGAGGGCAAGCCUGGUGUCAGCCGCCGCGGUAAUACCAGCUCUCCGAGUGGUGGGGACGCUUAUUGGGCCUAAAGCAUCCGUAGCCGGCUGGGCAAGUCCUCCGUUAAAUCCAACGAUUCAAUCGUUGGGCUGCGGGGGAUACUGUCCAGCUUGGGGGCGGGAGAGGCCGACGGUAUUCCCGGGGUAGGGGUGAAAUCCUAUAAUCCCGGGAGGACCACCAGUGGCGAAGGCUGUCGGCUAGAACGCGCCCGACGGUGAGGGAUGAAAGCUGGGGGAGCGAACCGGAUUAGAUACCCCUGUAGU
Molecule: ribosomal RNA, 411 nt
Filed under: uncultured microorganism
Description: bacterial SSU rRNA
Rfam family: Archaeal small subunit ribosomal RNA
Source: RNAcentral